GACGGGGGGGGCAAGUGUUCUUCGGAAUGACUGGGCGUAAAGGGCACGUAGGCGGUGAAUCGGGUUGAAAGUGAAAGUCGCCAAAAAGUGGCGGAAUGCUCUCGAAACCAAUUCACUUGAGUGAGACAGAGGAGAGUGGAAUUUCGUGUGUAGGGGUGAAAUCCGUAGAUCUACGAAGGAACGCCAAAAGCGAAGGCGGCAUCCUGGCCCUGUCCUGACGCUCAGGGGCGAAAGCGUGGGGAGCAAACCGG
RNAcentral lists this ribosomal RNA (251 nucleotides) under uncultured bacterium. RNAcentral's name for it is "partial 16S ribosomal RNA". It matches the Rfam family "Bacterial small subunit ribosomal RNA", at positions 524 to 776 of the family's 1533-position model. The record is from RNAcentral.